CACGUAGGGCGCAAGCGUUGUCCGGAAUUAUUGGGCGUAAAGAGCUCGUAGGCGGUCUGUUACGUCUGCUGUGAAAACCCGGGGCUUAACCCUGGGCUUGCAGUGGAUACGGGCAGACUAGAGGCAGGUAGGGGAGAAUGGAAUUCCCGGUGUAGCGGUGAAAUGCGCAGAUAUCGGGAGGAACACCGGUGGCGAAGGCGGGUCUCUGGACAGUUCCUGACGCUGAGGCACGAAAGCCAGGGGAGCAAACGGG
This 253-nucleotide ribosomal RNA is filed under the name uncultured bacterium. Its description in RNAcentral is "partial 16S ribosomal RNA". It matches the Rfam family "Bacterial small subunit ribosomal RNA", at positions 524 to 776 of the family's 1533-position model. The record is from RNAcentral.